RNAcentral lists this unclassified non-coding RNA (255 nucleotides) under plant metagenome. Its description in RNAcentral is "partial contains 5.8S ribosomal RNA, internal transcribed spacer 2, and large subunit ribosomal RNA". The record is from RNAcentral.
CCAGCCUGUAAGCCAGCAAUCAGCCCAACCUGUAGCCCAAUCAAUAGGCUAUAAAAUAGCACACUGCUUAGUCCAACAAGCAGCCCUGCUAUCAUCCCCACUAGUAGCCCAAGCCUCAAGUUAUUUCUCGCUUUUAGCCAUGACCAUUUCAGGGUUUCAACUGGGUUGAUCUGAUUACUAAUCAACCCAAAAACUAGCCCAGCAAUUAUUCCACUACUAAUCCCAAGAGUUAGUCCCGCAAUUAGCCCAAAGUGC